This is a long non-coding RNA of Diachasma alloeum, 1518 nucleotides long. RefSeq lists it as uncharacterized. Lineage: Eukaryota; Metazoa; Arthropoda; Insecta; Hymenoptera; Braconidae. The record is from RefSeq and is a predicted model, not a curated record. The transcript has 5 exons.
UUGAGUCCGAUUCGUCAACUGACACCGGCGGACCACAGGUGUUAUCUAAGAUGGCGGGGGAUACCACCCAUACCACCUACCACUACCGUCCUUUUUUCAACAUUUCAUUAUUAAUUAAUCAUGAAGCAAAGAAUGUAAUGGUUUUUCAUAUUGGUUGGUUAUAAAUCUUUUGGUUAAAUAUAACAGUGAUGUUAAAGUGUACAAAGUGUUCUCAAUAAAUUAAAUAUAUCAGCCAUAACCUCCAAUGAAUGCAUUUUGAAGUAAACCAGCUCAAUUUCCAUGCGAUAACAUUUUCUAAAAUCAAGUGAUCCGACCAAUACUCAUAAAAAUUGAUUGGGAAUUAGGAUAACAGUGAAGAAAGGGAUGUUUUCCAAGCUUCACCUCUUAGGAAAAUUGUGGUCAUGGAAGUAAGGACAACACAUCACUCACUGGGACCAUUCCCAUUCAAAACUAAGGACUCAAAAUUUUUGUACAUACGGAUAUAAUAGAGAGAUUAAUAGUGUAUACACUCAGAAAGGCCUAACUCGCGAAGUUAUGGCGUCAACAAUUCAUUCAUUCAAUCCUCAGCCCCCGUAGAAGGACCCCCGGACUACAAGACAGGGUCUUCGAAUGAGUCAACAGCUCAUAAGCAUUUAGUGUCAAAAUACAAGUUGAGAAGAACGAGGAGGACAACACGAGACUGAGCUACCACUAAUCAAGGACUUCCAUUUUCUAUGUGAAGGGGUUGGCCCUUGACCCUAUCGUCGUUUACUACCCUGAGGAACUCAAAUGGCCAUUAAGAUGUCCAAUCAGUCCUUUGCGGUUGAUGCACAGUCUGUUGUUGACUCUUUGCACGAAACCCUAUGUCAUGAGAAUGUAAUUAUGGAAUCGCGGAACGAAACCGCUGUUGCAGUGUUUCGUUCUGUUGACUGAUGUACUUGUUUGCAUCUGUGGGGCACACAUUUUUAAUGUUAAAAUUCGUCCGUCACCCACUGAAAAAUCAGCAAUAGAAUUAUGGAAAUGAGCUCAGUAUUUCACUUCCAGUCAACGAAAUAACAUCUCGUAUCCUUCGCUGAUUGGUGCAACACCUUGGAAAUUAGCGCAGAUUAUGGUAAAAGCACUAUGAUCUAUGAGCCUGCUAUUUUUCGUGGCUUCCUUAAAGAGACCUUUCUCUAUCAGAACACUGCACUAUAUUUAUAAUAGAUAUUGGAGCCUCCUUACCAAGUGCUUGUAUCUAGCUGAGGACAUUAAAAAUCAUAAUUGCGUAAAAUUCGUGUAAAAAUCCAAUUUUAGUUUCCAAAAAACUUGUCAUUGGAAAGUGGUAGAAAUUAACUCACAUGAAUAAUAAAUUGUAAUGACAACAUAUUCUCGUGGCAUUUUCACUCCACACAUAUUCUAAUGUAAUUUCCAGCAUUACAAUGCUCUACCCCAAGGUAAUUUGAUUUACUUUGAAAGGAAAGGUGAAUGAACAAACUUUGAUUAAAAAUUGAUAUUUGCAAGAACUGAAAAUGAACGCCAAUAAAUUUGAAAUUCUGAUGU